UCCACGAUAGCUCAGUUGGUAGAGCAGAAGACUGUUAAUCUUUUGGUCGCAGGUUCGAGUCCUGCUCGCGGAGCCA
RNAcentral lists this transfer RNA (76 nucleotides) under Gammaproteobacteria bacterium. RNAcentral describes it as "tRNA-Asn(gtt)". It matches the Rfam family "tRNA". Rfam says of the family: Transfer RNA (tRNA) molecules are approximately 80 nucleotides in length. The record is from RNAcentral. Lineage: Bacteria; Pseudomonadati; Pseudomonadota; Gammaproteobacteria.